Molecule: ribosomal RNA, 121 nt
Organism: Loxodonta africana (African savanna elephant)
Lineage: Eukaryota; Metazoa; Chordata; Mammalia; Proboscidea; Elephantidae
Source: Ensembl
GCUGCUGGAAUCUCUGGUUUAUGAACACGCCCAAUCUUGUCUGAUUUUGGAAGCUAAGUAGGGCCAAACCUGGUUAGUACUUGGAUGGGAGACCACCUGGGAAUACUGGGUACUGUGAGCU